This is a long non-coding RNA of Sorghum bicolor (sorghum), 2530 nucleotides long. RefSeq lists it as uncharacterized. The transcript has 3 exons. Lineage: Eukaryota; Viridiplantae; Streptophyta; Magnoliopsida; Poales; Poaceae. The record is from RefSeq and is a predicted model, not a curated record.
CUUUCGCACGCUGUCCAAGCCUGCGCCCUCGCCCUCGCCCUCCGCCCUCGCCCAGUCGUUCUCGUUUGCCACUGUCCUCCUAUCCCCAAUCUGCUAGCACAUUGACCACCCAAUCCAUGGCCUCAGCCACUCGACACUCGGGGUCUCGAUCCAUACUGCGAGCCAAACCCAAUCCGAAUUAACAAUAUCCUAGAUCCUCGCAUGAGGCAAAGGCAUAGAGCUUGGGGAUCUCGUGCUACCUCAAGCCAGAAGCCAAACCCCACAUCUGCUCACUCUUCUAGGCAAUAGUCGCAAGCUCGACGCCCUCUCGAUUCCGCCGGUCUGCCCUGCGACCGCAGAAGAGUCCAGGGACUCCUCGUCGGCGAACACGAUUCUGGUUCCCGCUGCUGUGGAAGACUACAACAAACGUCCUCAGCCUUGGCAUCUACGGACUCCUGCCCUCUCUCCUCAUCCUAUACUGCCACAGUUCUUGGCACGGAGGCGGUGGUCGCGGCGCCACGCGCGCUGGUGACAGUAGCUGCGUCGACAGCUAAUGCGCUGGAUACUGUGCGUCAAUUUAUGAGGUGGUGGCCAUUGUGACGAUGGGCUCAUCGCGGUCGGUAGGUAGAAGAAGGCGAAGAGGACGUCCCUGAGGUACCCGAGCUCCCGCGCCGGUGGCAGGAACAGCGCGCGCAGGAGGACUGUUUGCGCGGCAGCGGCGCGGCGUGGGUAGCUGUGCUGGAGACUAGGGCGGUGGAAGCUAGCAGGAGAGCUAGCUCUACCUCACCGCGAUUCAGCCGGCAGCUGACGUCCGCCAGAGGGGAGCUCGGCGCUGAGGUGGCUGGCGGUCCCUCGAGCCACUCGGGGGCGUUUGCACGCCAUCUGUUCGAUGCUUUGCGGCUCCGCGACUGAAGUGGAUUACAGAGUUUUUUUAUAUCCAGUUUCUCCGACAUGGACCCAGUAGAAAAAAUGGUGGUCAUACUCCACUAGGAGAUUUGACAAACACUACCAACGGAGUUGAUGACGCUAAGCAACGAAAAAGGGAAAGGGAAAGAGCACGAUAUGCAACAAGGACUGAACAACAGAGGAAUGAAUACAACAAGAAGCAUCGUGAACAAUAUCGAAUGAAAAAGGCAAAAACUACACUUGUGCAUGGGGCAAUAGGUGACACUGCAAACAAAUUUAAACGAAGCAAUGUGCCUUACCCUUCUGUAUAUUAUUUAUAUUUAUUUUUUAUAAUAACUAUCUUGUAGCUGGUGGGGUUGCAUUAGACAAGGAUGGCAUGAAUAAUAGUGAAAAUGACGAUUGGUUGCAUAAAAAUGAUUCAUACCAACCCAUGCAGAUCGGUAAAGAGAGUCUAGGUACUAUUUAUUUUAUUGUUAUUAGUUUUUUUCCUAGAUUACGGUGUCAUUGCAUAAUAUAUGUUUUGUACAAAUAAGAGAGAUUCCUAGAGAGAUUUUUGAGGAGGCUAGCAUUGAGGCUAACGAGGAUGAUGUGGCUCUGUCAGACACCCUUAAUGAGGAGGCAGCAGGCUGCAUACGAUGAGAUUAUGUCCUCAGUUGGUACCGAACAUGGGGGUCUAUUUUUUGUGGAUGGUCCUGAUGGGACCGGAAAAACUUAUUUGUACAAAGCACUUCUUGCUACUAUACGCAGUCAGAAAAAGAUUGCUAUGGCAACAACUACAUCUGGUGUCGCAACCUCAAUAAUGCCUGGUGGCAGAACCGCCCACUCACGCUUCAAGAUUCCCCUCACCAUUGAUAAUGGAGCCUUUUGCACUUUCACAAAACAGAGCGGUACUGCCAAGCUGCUUCAAGCAGCAUCUCUCAUAAUUUGGGACGAGGCUAGCAUGACAAAGAGGUAGGCUGUCGAGGCACUAGACAAUAGUCUCCGUGAUAUAAUGAACCGACCAGAGCUGCCUUUUGAAGGGAAGACUGUGGUGUUCGGUGGAGAUUUCAGACAAGUUCUUCCUGUUAUUCGAAGAGGGUCAAGGGCUCAGAUAGUUAGUGCCUCGCUACAGAUGUCUUAUCUUUGGGAUUCCAUGCGACAUCUAAAAUUAGUGUGCAACAUGAGGGCAAAGAGUGACCAAUGGUUUGCAGAAUACUUGUUGCGCAUCGGUGGAGGUUCUGAGGAGGCGACUAUUGAUGAUCAAAUUUGUCUUCCUCAUGAUGUAUGUGUACCGCACACCGGGAAGAUAGUGACCUUGAUACUCUAAUUGAUUGCAUAUUCCUUAAUCUCAAUACAAAUAUUUCAAGCAAAGAUUAUAUCACCUCUCGAGCGAUAUUUACGCGGAACGACUCGGUCGAUAUGAUUAAUAUGAAGAUGAUAGAUCGUUUCUACGGGGAUGAGAUGGUGUACCACAACUUUGAUUGUGCGGUGAAUGAUCCGCACAACUACUACCCAGAAGAAUUUCUUAACACUUUGACACCCAAUGGUCUACCUCCACAUGUGCUAAAGCUGAAGAUUGGUUGUCCGGUUAUAUUGCUUAGGAACAUUGACCCUGCGAACAGACUUUGUAACGGUACUAGACUUAUCAUACAGGGGUUCAAAAAAA